AUGAGAAAUCUAGACCACAAGCAGUCUGACUCAGAAGUGAAGACAUUGGGGAGCAUCAAUCACAAGAACAUGAUCAAGCUGCUUUGCAGCAUCUCCAGCCAAGAUGUCGAGCUGCUUGUUUACAAACACAUGGAGAAGGACAGCCUCAACAACUGGAUGCACCACCGUGAAUGCACGGGUGCCCCUUCACCAUUGCACUGGCCGACAAGGCUGACCAUCGUUAUCGAUGCAUCCAGGGGCCUCAACUACAUCCACAAAGAGUGCAGACGGGCUAUUAUCCACCGGGACAUCAAGUCAGACAAUAUUUUGCUUGACCCAGAGUUCCAUGCCAAGAUCACCGACUAUGGGCUCGAAUGGUUGUCAGCCCACGCCAGUCCCACCACAGGUCAGCCAUUUUUUGGGACACACGGGUACAUGGCCCCUGAUGACAAUCUCAAAUCCAGCAAGGCGUCUCAAACAUUUCUGUUGAAUGCUAACUGGAUGCAAAUUUUGCAUAAUACUAAUAGUACAAUGGAGGGGCGUACUAGAAGAUUGACAUCUACAGUUUUGGUGUCAUUCUGCUAG
This 564-nucleotide ribosomal RNA is filed under the name Triticum aestivum (bread wheat). RNAcentral describes it as "partial small subunit ribosomal RNA". The record is from RNAcentral. Lineage: Eukaryota; Viridiplantae; Streptophyta; Magnoliopsida; Poales; Poaceae.